GGGCCCGCACAAGCGGAGGAACAUGUGGUUUAAUUCGAUGAUACGCGAGGAACCUUACCCGGGCUUGAAUUGCAGAGCGAGGGAGGGGAGACCCUUCCGUCCUUCGGGAGUUCUGUGAAGGUGCUGCAUGGUUGUCGUCAGCUCGUGCCGUGAGGUGUCGGCUCAAGUGCCAUAACGAGCGCAACCCCUGUCCCCGGUUGCCAUCAGGUAAGGCUGGGCACUCCGGGGAGACUGCCGCCGCAAGGUGUGAGGAAGGCGGGGAUGACGUCAAAUCAGCACGGCCCUUACGUCCGGGGCUACACACGUGUUACAAUGGCCGGUACAGCGCGCCGGCGGCCCGCAAGGUCCGCCCAAUCGUGAAAGCCGGCCUCAGUACGGACUGGGGUCUGCAACCCGACCCCACGAAGCUGGAUUCGCUAGUAAUCGCGCAUCAGCCAUGGCGCGGUGAAUACGUUCCCGGGCCUU
This 465-nucleotide ribosomal RNA is filed under the name uncultured bacterium. Its description in RNAcentral is "bacterial SSU rRNA". It matches the Rfam family "Bacterial small subunit ribosomal RNA", at positions 917 to 1382 of the family's 1533-position model. The record is from RNAcentral.